RNAcentral lists this non-coding RNA (101 nucleotides) under Xanthomonas translucens. RNAcentral describes it as "TPP sequence". It matches the Rfam family "TPP riboswitch aptamer (THI element)". Rfam says of the family: Vitamin B(1) in its active form thiamin pyrophosphate (TPP) is an essential coenzyme that is synthesised by coupling of pyrimidine and thiazole moieties in bacteria. Lineage: Bacteria; Pseudomonadati; Pseudomonadota; Gammaproteobacteria; Lysobacterales; Lysobacteraceae. The record is from RNAcentral.
CCGCAGAAGUGGGGGUACCGUCGGCGCAGGUCGCGGUUGAGACAGUCCCUUCGAACCUGAUCCGGUUGAUACCGGCGUAGGGAAGCUUCGCAAGCCUGGUC